CCGCCACGGAGACGUGGCUUUCCCUUCGGGGACUAGGACACAGGUGCUGCAUGGCUGUCGUCAGCUCGUGUCGUGAGAUGUUGGGUUAAGUCCCGCAACGAGCGCAACCCUCGCCUUUAGUUGCCAUCAUUUAGUUGGGCACUCUAAAGGGACUGCCGGUGCUAAGCCGGAGGAAGGUGGGGAUGACGUCAAGUCCUCAUGGCCCUUACGGGGUGGGCUACACACGUGCUACAAUGGCGACUACAGAGGGCUGCAACCCAGCGAUGGUGAGCCAAUCCCUAAAAGUCGUCUCAGUUCGGAUUGUUCUCUGCAACUCGAGAGCAUGAAUUUGGAAUCGCUAGUAAUCGCCGAUCAGCAUGCCGCGGUGAAUACUUC
This 375-nucleotide ribosomal RNA is filed under the name uncultured bacterium Px12-DGGE band b. Its description in RNAcentral is "bacterial SSU rRNA". It matches the Rfam family "Bacterial small subunit ribosomal RNA", at positions 995 to 1369 of the family's 1533-position model. The record is from RNAcentral.